Long non-coding RNA from Agrilus planipennis (emerald ash borer), 580 nucleotides. RefSeq lists it as uncharacterized. Lineage: Eukaryota; Metazoa; Arthropoda; Insecta; Coleoptera; Buprestidae. The transcript is spliced from 2 exons. The record is from RefSeq and is a predicted model, not a curated record.
UGAAUAUAGAAGAUUAUUCAUUAGGGCAGUCGAACUUGGAGCAAGUAUUUUUAUCAUUUACCAAAUUACAAAGAGAAUCAUUCUCGUAAUUGUGAUUAAACUAGUCAAUUUUGUGAUAACGUUCAAAAUGGAAUUAAUAGAUAAAAUAGUACAAUGUUGGAAACUAUAUGUACAUAAGUAUUUCGGAAAUAGUUUAAAAGUGCAUUUGUUUUAUUACUGUUUAGACAGAUUUUAUUCUACUACCGUUUUCAAAGUACUUACAUAAAAUUUUAUACUAAUAAGUAAAUAAUUAGAUGAUAGAAAAACAAGGAAUGAAAAGGAAAUUACGGUGCUAUAGAUUAGUGUUGAAACUAUUUAUUGUUAAUUGGCUAUGAAGUCCCAUAUUUAUCACGUGUAAUGUCAUUUAGUAUCACUUCUGUGUUGACUUUAAGGUCGCUAGAUACAGUUAAUAAUAAUUUGAUUUUAAAUGUUUUUGUGUUCAUCAGAUUACGUGUUCCCAUUUACCUUUUCCUAAUAGAGGCUUUAAGCUAUAUGUAUGUACGUAUGUCUACAAAUAAGUAAAUAUUUUUUUGUAAUAGAA